GGGGGAAUAUUGCACAAUGGGCGCANGCCUGAUGCAGCGACGCCGCGUGAGGGAUGGAGGCCUUCGGGUUGUAAACCUCUUUUAUCGGGGAGCAAGCGAGAGUGAGUUUACCCGUUGAAUAAGCACCGGCUAACUACGGGCCAGCAGCCGCGGUAAUACAAAA
This 163-nucleotide ribosomal RNA is filed under the name uncultured bacterium. RNAcentral describes it as "partial 16S ribosomal RNA". It matches the Rfam family "Bacterial small subunit ribosomal RNA", at positions 355 to 530 of the family's 1533-position model. The record is from RNAcentral.